Molecule: transfer RNA, 72 nt
Filed under: Clostridiales bacterium
Lineage: Bacteria; Bacillati; Bacillota; Clostridia; Eubacteriales
Description: tRNA-Gln
Rfam family: tRNA
About the family: Transfer RNA (tRNA) molecules are approximately 80 nucleotides in length. Their secondary structure includes four short double-helical elements and three loops (D, anti-codon, and T loops).
Source: RNAcentral
UGGGCUGUAGCCAAGCGGUAAGGCACAGGACUUUGACUCCUGCAUUCGUUGGUUCGAAUCCAACCAGCCCAG